RNAcentral lists this ribosomal RNA (253 nucleotides) under uncultured bacterium. Its description in RNAcentral is "partial 16S ribosomal RNA". It matches the Rfam family "Bacterial small subunit ribosomal RNA", at positions 524 to 776 of the family's 1533-position model. The record is from RNAcentral.
UACGUAGGGGGCAAGCGUUGUCCGGAAUCAUUGGGCGUAAAGAGCGUGUAGGCGGCCUGAUAAGUCGGCUGUGAAAGUCAAGGGCUCAACCCUUGAAUGCCGGCCGAUACUGUCAGGCUAGAGUCCGGAAGAGGCGAGUGGAAUUCCUGGUGUAGCGGUGAAAUGCGCAGAUAUCAGGAAGAACACCGAUGGCGAAGGCAGUUCUCUGGGACGGUACUGACGCUGAGACGCGAAAGCGUGGGGAGCGAACAGG